GAAAAGAAACCAACAGGGAUUACUUUAGUAACGGCGAGCGAACAAGUAAUAGUACAUCCUCUGAAUCCUGCUUUUAGAAAUAGAAGCUAGGAAUUGUAGAGUUAGUAAAAAGGAAAGGAUUCGAAAAUUAUUUGAAAUAAUAUGCCAUAGAGGGUUAUAGCCCCGUUAAUUAUCCUAAACCUUAUGCUAAGAUUGAGUCGAGUUGUUUGGUAAUGCAGCUCUAACAUGGGUGGUACAAUGCAUCCAAUACUAAAUAUCCGUGGGAGACCGAUAGUGUAGAAGUACUGUAAAGGAAAGAUGAAAAGCACUCCGUAAGGAGAGUGAAAAGUGUGAAAUUGUUGAAUUGAACGUUCCUUUUAUCGAUUAUAAUAAUACCACAAUUGGGCAAGUAAGCUUGUUCGGUCUGAUAUUAUUAGAAUGUCAUGGAUUUAAUGGUUAGAUUUAAACUGCAAUAUAUCUGCCUCGCGGUUGAUAUGUGUAACAAUAUCUAAUGAUUGAAUUUUUUCGUAAGAGUUUGACACGAUAAAAUGAACACCCGUCUUGAAACACGGAAGGGCGAAUUCGUUU
This 567-nucleotide ribosomal RNA is filed under the name uncultured eukaryote. Its description in RNAcentral is "eukaryotic LSU rRNA". It matches the Rfam family "Eukaryotic large subunit ribosomal RNA", at positions 56 to 664 of the family's 3401-position model. The record is from RNAcentral.